GUCCACCAGCGCGCGGUACGCGCGGGCGCUGCUCGCGGCGGCGCGGGUCAUGGCGUCCGUCCAGGCGGGAUUCAGUUCCCCGGCCGGGCGC
Molecule: transfer RNA, 91 nt
Filed under: Deinococcus arenae
Lineage: Bacteria; Thermotogati; Deinococcota; Deinococci; Deinococcales; Deinococcaceae
Description: tRNA-Ala
Source: RNAcentral